This 462-nucleotide long non-coding RNA is filed under the name Olea europaea (common olive). Its description in RNAcentral is "long non-coding RNA (OEUR_LNC012822)". Lineage: Eukaryota; Viridiplantae; Streptophyta; Magnoliopsida; Lamiales; Oleaceae. The record is from RNAcentral.
UUCAAUGAGAGAGCAUGUUUGACAGCAUUUUAGAAUUGUUGACGUGGGAAGGAAAAAGCGUGAAAAAAGAGGGAAAAGCAGGAACACUAAUUGCUGGUAUUUCUUUUCACCCAAAACCGCUCAUUAUCUCUACGCAUUCGUCCCCAAAUCUGAGUGGCCACAAACGACGCGACUUCAAAUUUUUCGGCGACGACGAACAAUCAUCGUUACACCACCAGACCCCCUCCGACAGCAAUAGACACCACCGAACUACUUCCUUCGUGUUGGGUAAGUAAAAAAAUAGAGCAGACCUGUAGAAUUAAUUACAGAUAUUUAUGAAUUGAUACUUUAUAAUAUUGUUAGGCUUUUGAAUUUUGAAUUCUACAUUGGUUGCAAAAUUUCAAUGCUGGAAAGGUGAUAGUCGAUGCUUUUUAUUUUAUUUUUUUCAAUCUAUGAUUGAAGACGAUUUCUAAAUUGUGUUUC